AUUGAACGCUGGCGGCAGGCUUAACACAUGCAAGUCGAACGGCAGCGGGGGAUAGCUUGCUAUCCUGCCGGCGAGUGGCGGACGGGUGAGUAAUGCAUGGGGAGCUGCCCAGUCGAGGGGGAUAACAACUGGAAACGGUUGCUAAUACCGCAUACGCCCUUUGGGGGAAAGGUGGGGAACUUCGGUCCUACCGCGAUUGGAUGCGCCCAUGUGGGAUUAGCUAGUUGGUGAGGUAACGGCUCACCAAGGCGACGAUGUCUAGCUGGUCUGAGAGGAUGACCAGCCACACUGGAACUGAGACACGGUCCAGACUCCUACGGGAGGCAGCAGUGGGGAAUAUUGCACAAUGGGGGAAACCCUGAUGCAGCCAUGCCGCGUGUGUGAAGAAGGCCUUCGGGUUGUAAAGCACUUUCAGUCAGGAGGAAGGGGUGAUGGCUAAUAUCCAUCAUCAUUGACGUUACUGACAGAAGAAGCACCGGCUAACUCCGUGCCAGCCGCCGCGGUAA
RNAcentral lists this ribosomal RNA (506 nucleotides) under uncultured bacterium. RNAcentral's name for it is "partial 16S ribosomal RNA". It matches the Rfam family "Bacterial small subunit ribosomal RNA", at positions 30 to 523 of the family's 1533-position model. The record is from RNAcentral.